AGAAAAACCUAAACUCUGAUGACAACAAUAAUUAUCCGUCAACUUUUCUUCUUCGUCGUUUGGAAUCACUGCAAUUCACCGUUAUCACGCACAACCCACACUCCCUCAUUCAAUUAUGUUCUUAACUCAUUCCUUGAUGGUUUCGUUUCAACUUCCUCUCUUUCUCCUCCUUUAUAAAAUUACCUCAUCGAAUUUUCCAUCCAAGCAAACUCUACAAUCUCCAUAGAAAAAAAUCAGGCAAUUUCUUUUUAUCAAGACCCCUCAGCUACGUUCUGUUUUUAAGAAUCCGGUUUUGGUUUCGCUGGGCUAUAUCUCAUUAUGUGGAUGCAUUGUGAAAUGGGGAUUCAUUCAAAUUUUAAAGUUUUGGGCAAGCAAAUCCAUCUCUCUGAACCUGAAAGCAACAAGGAUGGGGAUGAUAAAAAUGAGAACACAACCAAGAAGUCAGGACAGGGAAUGUGAAAAAAUCAUCACGGCAGCAACGGACGUGGAAACUUACCAUCAAGCUCAUCACUUUUCCAUGAAAUAGAAUCUCCAUCAACAUCCGGUGGAGGUCUAAAAGAUAUUGUCCGUCCCGAGAAAGCCUGAUGGGACGCGAGUGUACACAAUGGGGCGUGGGAAACCGCUUUCUUCUCAGACGAAGUUUAAUCAGUUUCUCAUCUAUUAACCGAGAUGUGUAGGAUUUGGGUUUCCUUUAUGCACUCUAAAAGUAUCGGAAUCCUC
Molecule: long non-coding RNA, 720 nt
Organism: Brassica oleracea var. oleracea
Lineage: Eukaryota; Viridiplantae; Streptophyta; Magnoliopsida; Brassicales; Brassicaceae
Exons: 3
Source: RefSeq, a predicted model, not a curated record